CCUACGGGAGGCAGCAGUGGGGAAUUUUGGACAAUGGGCGAAAGCCUGAUCCAGCCAUUCCGCGUGAGUGAAGAAGGCCUUCGGGUUGUAAAGCUCUUUCGCAAGGGAAGAAAACUUACACAAUAACACUGUGUGAGGCUGACGGUACCUUGAUAAGAAGCACCGGCUAACUACGUGCCAGCAGCCGCGGUAAUACGUAGGGUGCGAGCGUUAAUCGGAAUUACUGGGCGUAAAGCGUGCGCAGGCGGUUUGGCAAGUCAGAUGUGAAAUCCCCGAGCUCAACUUGGGAACUGCGUUUGAAACUGCCAGACUAGAAUAUGUCAGAGGGGGGUAGAAUUCCACGUGUAGCAGUGAAAUGCGUAGAGAUGUGGAGGAAUACCAAUGGCGAAGGCAGCCCCCUGGGAUAAUAUUGACGCUCAUGCACGAAAGCGUGGGGAGCAAACAGGAUUAGAUACCCUUGUAGUC
RNAcentral lists this ribosomal RNA (465 nucleotides) under uncultured Methylophilus sp. RNAcentral's name for it is "bacterial SSU rRNA". It matches the Rfam family "Bacterial small subunit ribosomal RNA", at positions 338 to 795 of the family's 1533-position model. The record is from RNAcentral. Lineage: Bacteria; Pseudomonadati; Pseudomonadota; Betaproteobacteria; Nitrosomonadales; Methylophilaceae.